Long non-coding RNA from Oncorhynchus tshawytscha (Chinook salmon), 1619 nucleotides. The record is from Ensembl. Lineage: Eukaryota; Metazoa; Chordata; Actinopteri; Salmoniformes; Salmonidae.
CUGGGUAUUUAAGAAGUAUUUUGGGGAGACAAUUUGGAGAAACACGAAUAAAACAUGAAACAUCGAGACAAAUUAUUUGAGUUUGAGGGGAUUAUCAUAAUUAUUAGGUUUUGUUUUUGUAGUAAACUUGGGUUAAGGGGAUUUCCAUGUUCCCAGAGACAUGAUAUCUUAAAGGGGUACACUCACAUAUGGAAUAUUAGGAGUUUUAUUUUCUGAGUUUUAAUUACACAAGUGAAUUUUUUAAAGAUAAAGGGUUCUUUAAUAUGUCUAAUAUGGUAUGGAACACAAAUGUAGGGGGAUGGUGUAACCUUUGACCUGCUUUCAUGGCUCUCUCGGGUGGUCUGAUCAGCCACAAGGGGGUGCCAUUUGAAUAAUGAAUUUGUGGUCAUGGGUAAUACUGUUUAAAAAAUUUUUUUAAAUGUUUUGUAACUUAAUUAUAGUGGAGUUUAAUUAACCUAUAUAAGGACUUUAGAAAUUGCCACCAUAGACAUGUUUUUCUAAAAAGAAAAAAAAUCCAUGAGUUUAGAUAAAGCCAAACAGUGAGACAUUUAGUUAAAAUGUGGAAACAUGAGAAAAAGAGCUACAGACAGAUAGGGGAAAAGGCAGACAGAAGAGCCCUCCCCCGCACUGCAGAGACCUUGAAGAAGUUUUAGAAGGGGAGCCAGGACAGGCAAAGAUAACAGAAUGUGUAGAUAACAGUUACUGAGUGGAGACAAAAGGGAGAAUUGGACAUGUGGAAAAUGAAAGGGGCGCUCCUACAUGAUAAUGUCAGAACAGAAGGAUAAUAUACUAAUCUUACCAAAGUCAUUAUUUAGAGUAGGUAGGUAAGGUUGGUAAGGGGGAUGGGUAAAUUGUGGUCUAGGAUAGGAUGGGGCCUAUUGGAUAAGAAACUAAUAUUUUUUAAAAAAUGUAGCUAACAAAUGGUCAUAGAAGUUAAAGAUAUAAUCAGAUAAAACAUAUGAGAAACUGUUUGUUAACCAAGCCUGUAUGUCCAGGAUUUUAUGCAUUACAGGUGAACUACAGGUGAAGUCACUCAAUCCAGUCCCAGAGGCUUGUUGGGGGGACCAUACCAAGGACUCCUGGUGACAGCUAGCUGAAAGAGCUACCCGGAUUCAUAUCGCACGGCGGGAGGGUAAGACACACUGACACUGUCGAACAAUAAACAGUGUUCGAGAGGAGAACUGGAAUUAACAGAAUUCCGGGGGCCAUCUCUCGAAUGAAGUAACCCUCCCUGUCCUGUCACCCCUGUUUUUGUUCAUAGAAGUGAAGAUGUGUCUGGCUCUUGCUAAGUGAUGUGUUCUCGGGGAGAGGGUGGGGCUUCACAUGGAAGCUGUUCGUCUGAGCUGUCUUAUCGUGGGUGACAUAUUCCUGAUACAGCACGUCCUACUUGAGUAUGCGGAGAGUGGUAAUUUGACCCAUGGUUUAGACGAUGAGGAUUUUGUUCUAAAAUAAGCAUAAGAGAUCCCUAGAUCUGGGUAGACAGGAAGUUAGAGUAGAGGUUGGGAAGGAUCUCUCAAUGGAGUUUUAUGUAGACCAAAAUAAAGUCUCUAACUACAUGGCAGUCUAGGACACUGAGCCAUUAUGGCAUAUAUCGGUGCAGGUUCCCAUAUUGAUCGUGG